Molecule: ribosomal RNA, 547 nt
Filed under: Clostridioides difficile
Lineage: Bacteria; Bacillati; Bacillota; Clostridia; Peptostreptococcales; Peptostreptococcaceae
Description: bacterial SSU rRNA
Rfam family: Bacterial small subunit ribosomal RNA
Source: RNAcentral
UUAUUUGAGAGUUUGAUCCUGGCUCAGGAUGAACGCUGGCGGCGUGCCUAACACAUGCAAGUUGAGCGAUUUACUUCGGUAAAGAGCGGCGGACGGGUGAGUAACGCGUGGGUAACCUACCCUGUACACACGGAUAACAUACUGAAAGGUAUGCUAAUACGGGAUAAUAUAUUUGAGAGGCAUCUCUUGAAUAUCAAAGGUGAGCCAGUACAGGAUGGACCCGCGUCUGAUUAGCUAGUUGGUAAGGUAACGGCUUACCAAGGCGACGAUCAGUAGCCGACCUGAGAGGGUGAUCGGCCACAUUGGAACUGAGACACGGUCCAAACUCCUACGGGAGGCAGCAGUGGGGAAUAUUGCACAAUGGGCGAAAGCCUGAUGCAGCAACGCCGCGUGAGUGAUGAAGGCCUUCGGGUCGUAAAACUCUGUCCUCAAGGAAGAUAAUGACGGUACUUGAGGAGGAAGCCCCGGCUAACUACGUGCCAGCAGCCGCGGUAAUACGUAGGGGGCUAGCGUUAUCCGGAUUUACUGGGCGUAAAGGGUGCGUAGG